AAGUCGUAACAAGGUUUCCGUAGGUGAACCUGCGGAAGGAUCAUUACCGAGAUAGGGGUGCCGAAAGGCGCCCCGACCUCCAACCCAUUGUCUACACACCUCUGUUGCCUCGGCGGGCCGUCGAAAGCCUUACAUUGGCCCUAGCCGUCGGCUCUCACGAGCCCUCGCGCGCCCGCCGAAGGACCAUCAAAAACCAAUUUGAAACGAGUCUUCUGAGUUAUAUUAUAAUACUUCAAAACUUUCAACAACGGAUCUCUUGGUUCUC
This 265-nucleotide unclassified non-coding RNA is filed under the name air metagenome. Its description in RNAcentral is "partial contains small subunit ribosomal RNA, internal transcribed spacer 1, and 5.8S ribosomal RNA". The stretch from base 1 to 46 matches the Rfam family "Eukaryotic small subunit ribosomal RNA", at positions 1786 to 1831 of the family's 1831-position model. The record is from RNAcentral.